This 4112-nucleotide long non-coding RNA is filed under the name Manihot esculenta (cassava). RNAcentral's name for it is "long non-coding RNA (MESC_LNC010458)". The record is from RNAcentral. Lineage: Eukaryota; Viridiplantae; Streptophyta; Magnoliopsida; Malpighiales; Euphorbiaceae.
GUUCAUGUAUAAACCAAAGAAGAGCUUUGGUUUCAAGCUUUUUUUAUAUUCGUUGGGUGCCUGGCUGCCUGUUGCAAAAUUGAAAUUGAAAUAUUCUUAGUGAGAAAUAUUUCAAGUUUUGAUUUUCCUGUCAAUUUCGUUCCUUAGAUGUAACUUUUUUUUUUUUUUGUCAAAGGUGAAUUAAUAUAUCAUUUAAAAUCUAGGCUUUAGCCCAUUACAAUAAGAGAGGCUUGAAUGGAAAAAAAAGGCCCAAAAACAAGCAAGCCCAAACCCAUAACAUAACCCACAAAACCCUAACCCUAAAGGAAUCUUAACCCUAAAGGAAGAUUCUUGAGCAUGCAGAACAUUGGCGGAGCAACAGCAGCCAGCGGAGGCAAAACAGGAGUCUUUAGAAUCUACAUGAAGCAAACAACCAACUUUCUCUUAAAGGUCCAACCUCAAGGAAAAACGCAUGCAAACUCAAAAACAUCCGAUCGAACCACGAAAUCCAGAAGGAAAGAUCGAUAGUUACAGAGAAGGGAAGCCUCUUCAACAAUGCCCAAAGGGCUAACCAACUUACUGAAAAGCAAAAGGCUUUCUGCACACCUCUUAGAUCUUGCCAGAGCAACUGAGCUGGGGAGACAAAGAGAUCAAGCCAUUAUUCCGAUCGCAAGGACCAAAGCCAAGGAGAGAAGAAAAUCUAAUUGUCAAAAGAUCUGAAACACCUAUUAGCAUCAACCGCGAGAGUAUGGAGGUCAGAGCUCCAUUCACCAGUCGGCAGUUAAAGAGUCACCAUAAACGGCUAAGUCUGGCAUCGACUUCUGGAGGUAGCCGCUGCUAAACAAAGCCCUCUCUUCGAACUUCCUAUCUCCACUAGGAAACACAAGAACUGAAGAUUCAGACCAUGCAAGCUCAUUCCUGCAACAAAAGAGAAAGCAACCCAAUAACACAACAAAAAUAAGAAAUAAAACAGAAAAGAAAAUCCUUCCAUCCGGAGGAGAAGAAGACACCCUCAAAAAUUGGGCGAGAGGAAGAUGACCUUCCCUACUCGGAAGGGAAAGCCGCUUGUCGGCAGAAAAAAGACUCUCCUCAAAAGAAAAAUAGAAAAAAUGAAGAUAGCUUAAGAGGAAGGGAAUAUUCCUAAGUUUAUUUUUAUUGAAGUUUAGUUUAUAAUUAAAAUCUUUAAAUAAAAACCCAUAUUUCUUAGAAUUGAUUUCUGGUUAUGUUACUGAUUUGGCUUUUUUUUUUUUUGAAAAAAAAAAUAUUAUUUGUUGGUUACAAAUAAAAGUAACAGUGUCUACUUCCCAAUCUCCUCUCUUUGCUUCUUUUCCAUCCACCAAAUUCCCUCUCAACCAAAUCCAUGGAGAUACUAAUAAUCUUCCCCGACUUCUUCAAAAAGCAGUGUCUUUGGAGUUGACUCCUCUGCCAGUAAAGGCUCAAAAUGAUGGAAUCCAUUCAUGACCACCAAGGGAUUGUGGCAUUAUAGUGAGAUUUGAUCUCAGGAAACAUCAGUAGAACUUGUUGAAUCUUAGGUUGUUGCAUUUAGCAGAAUCUUGGAAUUUGUUAAAUUUAAACAGUAGCUGAAAACUGACAUAACAGAGAUUCCACCAAUAAUUUGUAGCCGACAGAGCCAAUACAUUGUCCGUAGACACAUUAACCCAUUAAGCACUGAACUGUUUUGCGCUUAGUUCUUGCAAUGGUUCGAUGUUAGCAAUAGUAUUUUUUUUGACGGUGUAAUUCUCUCUAUUCUAUUAGUUAAAAAAAUAUAUUAAAUAAUUAAAAAAAAUCUAUCAAUUAAUAUAAUAAAUAUUUUUAGUGUUAAACAGUCACUGGCUAACAUUUCUCAAUUAUAAGUGGAGAAUGAUCCAAAGCAGCAGAGCACCAUUAUGCUAUUUAACUAUUUCUGUCUUCGCCUUUGUAGGCUUUCGUGUUCACCAGUAACGCCCACUAAUAAGGUUGACAAAUGGCAAAUCCCCAACCCUCUUUUUAAAAGCAUUGGUUCCCCUUUUUCUUCUUGUCUUUCAAGCAUUUUCAUUAAUACUUUUUUCCCCUUAAUUAUUAUCUUUAUCUUUAAAAUAUGAAGAAAAGAAAGAGUUGGUGUGGCUCUAAUGCCUCAAAAUCCUUCCUUUUUCUCACCACCUUCGAAUUUGGAAAUGACAAGAUAUUCCAAGAAUUGUCAUGAUUCUCUAGCUACAUUUUUAAUGUUGAUCAUACUCGCUUUAUAAAAAUAUAUAUUCACAUGAAUUGAGGUGUAACAUUUUUAGUAGAAUUAAUUCUGCUUAUAACUCGAAUUACAUACUUUCAUAACUUCAAAAAAAAAAAAAAAACUCUAUUUAAAAAUCUAUUAGUUAAAAAAUAUAAUUAAUAUAGUUAAGCUAAUAAAUUUUAUUUUUAUUUUCUAAUUUACAUUUUAUUUAUAUUGUAAUACUAUUAAAUUAUUCUUAAAACUAAUAAAUUUUAUUUUUGCAUAUUUGAAAGUUAAUAAAUAAGUAUUCUUUUCCAGCUAGUGGACAAAACAUAAAUAAAUAUUUCUUUAUAAAUUUAUAAAUGUAUCCCUCAUACUAUAUUUAUAAAUUUACCAAAAUAAGGAUAUUAUAUGGUACAAUUCAUUAAUAACUUGUCAUCUUUGACAAGUAAAAGAAAAAGAAUGGCUAAAAAAAAAGUAAAAGAAAAAGAAGAACAAAAGUGAGCAUAAAUCUUUAAAUAGGUCAAUGGCAAUUUCGGUGGCUUUUCUUUGAGAUGGAUGAAAUUUAUAUAUAUAUAAUAUAUACAUAAAUUUAAAUUUACAAAUAAGUAAUACGAUUUCGUCCGCUAAUAUAUGACAAAUUAGAGCUUUAUUUAAUAAUAUUAAUUGUUUCUAUUAAUUAAUAAUUAUUUUAAUAAUUAUUAAUCAUUUUAAUAAUAAAAAAAUUCAAAAACUAAACACUAUUCUUAAAAUUAUUAUCCCACAUAUCUAUAUCUAAACUUUAAAUAUUUUUAAAUUAUAAUAAAUUGAGUCUAUUUAAUAGGACUCUAAAAAUAUUGAUAUUUUUAAGUUUAAAGAAAAGUAUCUUUAAAAAAAAAGUUUAAAGAAGAGCGGUGAUGGUUGCUUACAACACAAUUUACAGAUUUGACAGAAUCUGAAAGUAAGAGCAACUUGGAAAACUCUUUUCAAUCACAGCCACAACGACAAUUUCCACUCUGAUUUAUUCUAAACGUGUCAUCUGCUACCCAAUGCCUCAAAACCAGAGAACACCACCAUGGAUCAAAAUCAAAAUCCCACAUAAUUAACCCAGAAAGAAUUCCUUGUUGGAUUAUUAACAUCAAUAAAAAAAAAAAACCAUCAUCUAUUACAGCAACUUCUCUUUCUAGCCAUUUCUCAGAGUUCUCUCACUUUCACUUUCCAACGUUUUCCCAAAAAAAGGCCAAGAAUGUCACUCAAAACUUUGGCAUGUUAUGUUCGAUGAAUCUUAAAUAACAGAAAUAGAGGGUUGCUUUAAGGUGAUGAAAAGUUCUUGGCAAUUGAAGGGACUAAGAUGAGCUUUAAGAAGAAGGCAAUCCAAGAAGAAGUAAUAAUAACAGAGGAAGAAGAAGAUCAAGAUCCCAUGCAACAGAGGCCAUGGAUGACGUACCUGGCUCUGUGGGAACCAGUGCUAGCUUCUCUUUGAGAUUGGCCCAAACAAUCUUCUCUUGUGCUUCUCUUUUUUUCAUGUCUUUGGGUGUUCAAUUCUACAGCUACACUGCCUUCUGGUAAUCUUUCUUUUCUUUUCUGUAUAAUUCAUUUAAAAAUUGAAUUCCAUAACCAGAUUAUUUUCACAUGAGCUUAAUUGCAGAGAAUUUCCCAGAAGAUGAUGAUCAGGAAUUUGUUAGAUCAAUUAGUUUUUACCUUUUUAUCUCUUUCUGCACCCUUAGAAAGUGUAUGAUGAGAUGAAAAUGGAUUUGUUCUUCCCUUAUUUUCUGUUUGAGUCUUGUUUCCUCUUCUGGACAAGAACUAGUUCUGAAACCCAGAAGCUGUAAUUUAAGCAAGCUCCUUAGAAGGUGAACCAAUCACUGCUGAUUAGCCAUUAGAAGCUUGAAAUGUUUGUGUUGCAUUUUUUCUCCUUUUUUGGGGAUAAUUCUGCUUUAAUAUCCAAUCUUGGUGAAAAGUUCGCAAC